Molecule: ribosomal RNA, 252 nt
Filed under: uncultured bacterium
Lineage: Bacteria
Description: partial 16S ribosomal RNA
Rfam family: Bacterial small subunit ribosomal RNA
Source: RNAcentral
GACGAAGGGGGCUAGCGUUGUUCGGAAUUACUGGGCGUAAAGCGCGUGUAGGCGGUUGUUCAAGUCAGGUGUGAAAGCCUUGAGCUCAACUCAAGAAAUGCACUUGAUACUGGAUGACUAGAGGACCGGAGAGGAUAGUGGAAUUCCCAGUGCAGUGGUGAAAUACGUAGAGAUUGGGAAGAACACCAGUGGCGAAGGCGGCUAUCUGGACGGUUUCUGACGCUAAGACGCGAAAGCGUGGGGAGCAACAGG